GACGAACGCUGGCGGCGUGCUUAACACAUGCAAGUCGAACGGAAAGGCCCUGCUUUUGUGGGGUGCUCGAGUGGCGAACGGGUGAGUAACACGUGAGUAACCUGCCCUUGACUUUGGGAUAACUUCAGGAAACUGGGGCUAAUACCGGAUAGGAGCUCCUGCUGCAUGGUGGGGGUUGGAAAGUUUCGGCGGUUGGGGAUGGACUCGCGGCUUAUCAGCUUGUUGGUGGGGUAGUGGCUUACCAAGGCUUUGACGGGUAGCCGGCAUGAGAGGGUGACCGGGCACAUGAGGACUGAGGUACGGACCAGAAUCCUACGGGAGGCAGCAGGGGAGAAUAUUGCACAAUGGGGGGAAGCCUGAUGCAGCGACGCCGCGAGCGGGAUAACGGCCUUCGGGUUGUAAACCGCUUUCGCAUGUGACGAAGCGUGAGUGACGGUAAUGGGUAAAGAAGCACCGGCUCCCUACGUG
This 468-nucleotide ribosomal RNA is filed under the name uncultured bacterium. RNAcentral describes it as "partial 16S ribosomal RNA". It matches the Rfam family "Bacterial small subunit ribosomal RNA", at positions 28 to 507 of the family's 1533-position model. The record is from RNAcentral.